UGGGGAAUCUUCCGCAAUGGACGAAAGUCUGACGGAGCAACGCCGCGUGAGUGAAGAAGGCCUUCGGGUUGUAAAGCUCUGUUAUCGGGGACGAACGUGCUUUUUGUGAAUAAUGAGAAGCAAUGACGGUACCUGAGGAGGAAGCCACGGCUAACUACGUGCCAGCAGCCGCGGUAAUACGUAGGUGGCAAGCGUUGUCCGGAAUUAUUGGGCGUAAAGAGCGCGUAGGCGGGAGGAUCAGUCUGACCUAAAAGUGCGGGGCUCAACCCCGUGAGGGGUCAGAAACUAUCCCUCUUGAGGACCGGAGAGGACAGUGGAAUUCCCAGUGUAGCGGUGAAAUGCGUAGAUAUUGGGAGGAACACCAGUGGCGAAGGCGACUGUCUGGACGGUAACUGACGCU
Molecule: ribosomal RNA, 400 nt
Filed under: uncultured bacterium
Lineage: Bacteria
Description: partial 16S ribosomal RNA
Rfam family: Bacterial small subunit ribosomal RNA
Source: RNAcentral